This 486-nucleotide ribosomal RNA is filed under the name uncultured bacterium. RNAcentral's name for it is "partial 16S ribosomal RNA". The record is from RNAcentral.
GUAGUUAGCCGGGGCUUCCUCCUCAGGUACCGUCACUUCCUUCGUCCCUGAGGACAGAGGUUUACAAUCCGAAAACCUUCUUCCCUCACGCGGCGUUGCUGGGUCAGGCUUUCGCCCAUUGCCCAAUAUUCCCCACUGCUGCCUCCCGUAGGAGUCUGGGCCGUGUCUCAGUCCCAGUGUGGCCGUUCACCCUCUCAGGUCGGCUACCCAUCGUCGCCUUGGUGGGCCCUUACCUCACCAACUAGCUAAUGGGACGCGAACUCACCCCAAACCGGAUCGCUCCUUUUACCUCAUCCCCAUGCGAGGACGUGGUCUUAUGCGGUAUUAGCAGAUGUUUCCAUCUGUUAUCCCCCUGUCUGGGACAGAUUGCUCACGCGUUACUCACCCGUCCGCCGCUCGAACUCGGGCCGAAACCCAAGUCCUCGCUCGACUUGCAUGUGUUAAGCACGCCGCCAGCGUUCGUCCUGAGCCAGAAUCGAACCCUGA